CCUACGGGGCGCAGCAGUGGGGAAUAUUGCGCAAUGGGCGAAAGCCUGACGCAGCGACGCAGCGUGAGGGAUGAAGGUCUUCGGAUCGUCAACCUCUGUCAGCAGGGAAGAACGGUCACUGUGCUAAUCAGCAGUGAAUUGACGGUACCUGCAAAGGAAGCACCGGCUGACUCGGUGCCAGCAGCCGCGGUAAUACGGAUGGUGCGGGCGUUAAUCUGAAUUACUGGGCGUAAAGCGCUCGUAGGCGGUAUGUCAAGUCAAGGGUGAAGUCCCCGCGCUCAACGUGGGAACUGCCUUUGAAACUGGCAAACUGGAGUGUGUGAGAGGAGAGUGGAAUUCCAGGUGUAGGAGUGAAAUGCGUAGAUAUCUGGAGGAACAUCAGUGGCGAAGGCGACUAUCUGGCACAUAACUGACGCUGAGGAGCGAAAGCGUGGGUAGCAAACAGGAUUAGAUACCCCUGUAGUC
This 465-nucleotide ribosomal RNA is filed under the name uncultured bacterium. RNAcentral describes it as "partial 16S ribosomal RNA". It matches the Rfam family "Bacterial small subunit ribosomal RNA", at positions 338 to 795 of the family's 1533-position model. The record is from RNAcentral.